RNAcentral lists this small nucleolar RNA (107 nucleotides) under Solanum tuberosum (potato). RNAcentral's name for it is "Plant small nucleolar RNA R71". It matches the Rfam family "Plant small nucleolar RNA R71". Rfam says of the family: R71 is a member of the C/D box family of snoRNAs containing the C (UGAUGA) and D (CUGA) box motifs. The record is from Rfam by way of RNAcentral. Lineage: Eukaryota; Viridiplantae; Streptophyta; Magnoliopsida; Solanales; Solanaceae.
AUUCCGUUAUGUGGACACUUCCUCAACAAUUCCUUGAAUCUUUCCCAUGUUUCAAACACUAUUUCUUAUUCUAGUUGACUAAAAUUGCUGAUCUCCUUCCUCAUUCU